UGUUUAAGUAAUGCGGGGCUUAAACUCAUGACCCCAAGAUCAAGAGUCGCAUGCCCUUCCAGCUGAGCCAGCCAGGUGCCCCCUAAUCUUUUCUUCUAAGAGCGUUUACGAUGCCUACUAACGAAUGGUAGGAUGGAAGGGGAGUAGAGUACUAGAGAAGAAUUCCUGGGUCACGGAGUAAAAACUGGAUGAGUUCUCUGAGGAGCAGGACAGCAGUGUGCUAAGAACAAGGGACUACGGGGGCACUACGGGAUCUACUUCUCAACCCCACCGUCUGAUCUCUUCUUCCUACUUCACCUUCCUCCAGCCCCUCUGGCUUCCUUGCUGUCUCCAGAUCACACCAGUCAUGCUUACAAUGAUCUGAUCGCAGAUGCCAACACGCUUCACUCCCCUGCCUCCUUCAGAGUUCUACCCAAAUGCGACUUCAUCACAUGGGCUUUCCUCUGAGUCCUACGUAAAAGGCUCCGCCACUCACCACACAUCAAUCUUCAUCCCUCUGCUUUAUUUUGCAUCACUACCACACGGCAUAUUUAUUGUUGAUUUUCUGUCCAUUAAAAUGGAAGCUCUAUGAGAGCAGAAAGUUUGUCUUGUUUAUUGCUUCAUCCCCAGAAGCUACAGUGUUUGGAUGUAAAUAAGUGAAUAGAUUGGGCCGGGAGCAGAGUAACUGGGUUCCAAUCCUUUCUCACUGUGAUAACAUGGACACGUCUGUCAAUCAUUCUUGCAUUUCAGUUUUCUCAUUCGCAAGUAAGGGAUGAUUACUUUUCUCUCGGCCUAGAUGAGAGGAUUAAUGGAAGAAGGGGCGACUAUUGUUUAUAAGCAUCUUCUACUGGGCAUGCAUUGCUGCAAUUGAUUCGCAUAUAUUGUUUUUAAACCCCAGGUCAGCCUGAUAAAAUGGAUAUUAGUGUUCCCAUUUUACAGAUUAAGAAACUGAGACUCAAAAAGUUAGUGGCUUGUGAAAUCCAAAGUGAAGGAAGUAUGUGAAAUAAAUAUUAGAAGUAUGACACUGCAAUAAAAAAUGUGAAGUAUCUUGGUAAUUUUUAUAUUGGUUAUAUAUUGGAAUAAUAUUUUGAAUAUUUAAAAAAUAAAAUCUGUUAUUAAAGUUAAU
This is a long non-coding RNA of Neofelis nebulosa (Clouded leopard), 1105 nucleotides long. RefSeq lists it as uncharacterized. NCBI's taxonomy places the organism in Eukaryota, Metazoa, Chordata, Mammalia, Carnivora, Felidae. The transcript has 2 exons. The record is from RefSeq and is a predicted model, not a curated record.